This is a non-coding RNA of Acanthosepion pharaonis, 107 nucleotides long. NCBI's taxonomy places the organism in Eukaryota, Metazoa, Mollusca, Cephalopoda, Sepiida, Sepiidae. The record is from the annotation of a GenBank genome assembly.
CCACAUCACAUUAAAACACUGGAUCCGGUAUGAUCCCUAAAGUUAAGUAACAUUGAGCCUGGUCAGUACCUAGAUGAGUGACUGCUUUGGAAUACCAGGUGCUGUAA